Molecule: ribosomal RNA, 434 nt
Filed under: uncultured Lachnospiraceae bacterium
Lineage: Bacteria; Bacillati; Bacillota; Clostridia; Lachnospirales; Lachnospiraceae
Description: partial 16S ribosomal RNA
Rfam family: Bacterial small subunit ribosomal RNA
Source: RNAcentral
ACGGGAGGCAGCAGUGGGGAAUAUUGCACAAUGGGGGAAACCCUGAUGCAGCGACGCCGCGUGAGUGAAGAAGUAUUUCGGUAUGUAAAGCUCUAUCAGCAGGAAAGAAAAUGACGGUACCUGUCUAAGAAGCCCCGGCUAACUACGUGCCAGCAGCCGCGGUAAUACGUAGGGGGCAAGCGUUAUCCGGAUUUACUGGGUGUAAAGGGAGCGUAGACGGUAAGGCAAGUCUGAAGUGAAAUGCCAGGGCUCAACCCUGGAACUGCUUUGGAAACUGUCCUACUAGAGUGCAGGAGAGGUAAGUGGAAUUCCUAGUGUAGCGGUGAAAUGCGUAGAUAUUAGGAGGAACACCAGUGGCGAAGGCGGCUUACUGGACUGUAACUGACGUUGAGGCUCGAAAGCGUGGGGAGCAAACAGGAUUAGAUACCCUGGUA